Molecule: ribosomal RNA, 492 nt
Filed under: uncultured bacterium
Lineage: Bacteria
Description: partial 16S ribosomal RNA
Rfam family: Bacterial small subunit ribosomal RNA
Source: RNAcentral
AGUGAACGCUGGCGGUAUGCCUAACACAUGCAAGUCGAACGGCAGCACAGUAAGAUCUUGCUCUUACCGGUGGCGACUGGCGGACGGGUGACGAAUGCAUCGCAAUCUUCUUUUUCGUGGGUGAUAACGUAGGGAAACUUACGCUAAUACCGCAUACGACCUACGGGUGAAAGCAGUGGAUCUUCGGACCUUGCGCGAUUGUAUGAGCCGGUGUCGGAUUAGCUAGUUGGCAGGGUAACGUCCCACCAAGGCGACGAUCCGUAGCCGAUCUGAGAGGAUGAUCGGCCACACUGGAACUGAGACACGGUCCAGACUCCUACGGGAGGCAGCAGUAGGGAAUAUUGGACAAUGGGCGCAAGCCUGAUCCAGCCAUACCGCGUGGGUGAAGAAGGCCUUCGGGUUGUAAAGCCCUGUUGUUGGGGAAGAAAAGCAGCAGAUUAAAACCCCGCUGUUCUGACGGUACCCAAAGAAUAAGCACCGGCUAACUACGUG